AAUAGAUACCCGGGUAGUCCACGCCGUAAACGAUGGAUACUAGGUGUGGGAGGUAUCGAACCCUUCCGUGCCGCAGUAAACGCAAUAAGUAUCCCGCCUGGGGAGUACGGCCGCAAGGUUGAAACUCAAAGGAAUUGACGGGGGGCCCGCACAAGCAGCGGAGCAUGUGGUUUAAUUCGAAGCAACGCGAAGAACCUUACCAGAACUUGACAUCUCCUGCAUUACCCGUAAUUGGGGAAGUCCUUCGGGACAGGAAGACGGGUGGUGCAUGGUUGUCGUCAGCUCGUGUCGUGAGAUGUUGGGUUAAGUCCCGCAACGAGCGCAACCCUUAUUGUUAGUUGCCAUCAUUUAGUUGAGCACUCUAAUGAGACUGCCGGGGUACAACUCGGAGGAAGGUGGGGAUGGACGUCAAAUCAUCAUGCCCCCUUAUGUUCUGGGCUACACACGUGCUACAAUGGGCGCAACAACGGGAAGCAAGCUAGUGAUAGUGAGAAAACUCCCUAAAAAUCGCUCUCAGUUCAGAUUGUAGGCUGAAACUCGCCUAC
Molecule: ribosomal RNA, 545 nt
Filed under: uncultured bacterium
Lineage: Bacteria
Description: bacterial SSU rRNA
Rfam family: Bacterial small subunit ribosomal RNA
Source: RNAcentral